RNAcentral lists this long non-coding RNA (1103 nucleotides) under Gossypium barbadense (sea-island cotton). RNAcentral describes it as "long non-coding RNA (GBAR_LNC022065)". Lineage: Eukaryota; Viridiplantae; Streptophyta; Magnoliopsida; Malvales; Malvaceae. The record is from RNAcentral.
GUUGGAUUGCAGCCAACCGCUCAGCCUUCUGGAGAGAUUUGCUCUGGUGUGUCAACUGCACCUACAAGUCCUUGUGGUUCUUCUCCAACAUUUGGCCAAACAUCUGUAAAUCCUCAUUCCAUCACAAGUACCAAUCCAUUUGGUGUGUCUAAUUCCCCGGUAUUUGGAACAGUAGGCACAUUUGGAGCAUCAAGCGCACCAGCUUUUGGCACUUCUCUCACUCAUGCUUUUGGAGCAUCAAAUUCUGCUUUUGGCACUUCCAAGACUCCUGUUUUUGGAGUGUCAAAUUCUGCUUUUGGCUUUUCCGACACUCCUACUUUUGGAUCAUCUUCUACUCCUUCAUUCAGCUCUGGGUCUAGCCCUGCUUUUGGCCAAUCAACACCAGCAUUUGCCAGUAGUCCUUUUGGAACAACUACAAUUGGAGCACAGAGUUCUUUUGGUGAGUAACCAAGCCUACUUGAUCAUAGACUUCGAAACUACUUGUACAGUUAGGCAGAAAUAUAUAUUUUCAUGGGCCUUACAUGAUUUAAGGUCAAGGGAAUUCGUAUACGUAUACAUAUAUAUAUUAUUUAAAAUUCUUUGAGUUCUCAUGUAGGACCCUGAUCUUCUGCACCAGCAUUUGGACAGUCAACUUUUGGGGCUCAACGUGGGGGAAGAAGAGUUGCUUCUUACACGCCUACAAUUGACGCUGAUAGUAGCAUUGGUACACAGAUGUUCGAGUCAAUUUCAGCUAUGCCUGUUUACAAAGAUAAAAGUCAUGAGGAGCUGAGAUGGGAGGAUUAUCAAUUAGGAGAUAAAGGUACCUUUGUAAAAUAUUAAGAAAACCUGGAAGUUAUUCAUUAUUCUUUCCCAUGUUCAUUAUCGACUAACUUGCUGUAAUAAUUUGACUGUCAGUUGGACUGCAGCCAACCGCUCAGCCUUCUGGAGAGAUUUGCUCUGGUGUGUCAACUGCACCUACAAGUCCUUGUGGUUCUUCUCCAACAUUUGGCCAAACAUCUGUAAAUCCUCAUUCCAUCACAAGUACCAAUCCAUUUAGUCUAAAAUCUCCAUCCUUCAGCAGUGUAGGCUUUGCAACCUCGACUACUACCUCAAACCCUUCCCAA